RNAcentral lists this ribosomal RNA (396 nucleotides) under uncultured bacterium. RNAcentral describes it as "bacterial SSU rRNA". It matches the Rfam family "Bacterial small subunit ribosomal RNA", at positions 28 to 429 of the family's 1533-position model. The record is from RNAcentral.
GACGAACGCUGGCGGCGUGCUUAACACAUGCAAGUCGAGCGGUAAGGCUCCUUCGGGAGUACACGAGCGGCGAACGGGUGAGUAACACAUGAGCAAUCUGCCCUUCACUUCGGGAUAACUCCGGGAAACCGGUGCUAAUACCGGAUACGACCACUUCACGCAUGUGAUGGUGGUGGAAAGUUCAGGCGGUGGAGGAUGAGCUCGCGGCCUAUCAGCUUGUUGGUGGGGUAANGGCCCACCAAGGCAACGACGGGUAGCCGGCCUGAGAGGGUGACCGGCCACACUGGGACUGAGACACGGCCCAGACUCCUACGGGAGGCAGCAGUGGGGAAUAUUGGACAAUGGGCGAAAGCCUGAUCCAGCAACGCCGCGUGAGGGAUGACGGCCUGGUGUAAC